This 274-nucleotide ribosomal RNA is filed under the name uncultured bacterium. RNAcentral's name for it is "partial 16S ribosomal RNA". It matches the Rfam family "Bacterial small subunit ribosomal RNA", at positions 523 to 796 of the family's 1533-position model. The record is from RNAcentral.
AUACGGAGGGUGCAAGCGUUAAUCGGAAUUACUGGGCGUAAAGCGCGCGUAGGCGGAUAUUUAAGUCUCAUGUGAAAGCCCUGGGCUCAACCUGGGAACUGCAUGGGAUACUGGGUAUCUAGAAUACAGUAGAGGGUAGUGGAAUUUCAGGUGUAGCGGUGAAAUGCGUAGAGAUCUGAAGGAACAUCAGUGGCGAAGGAGACUACCUGGACUGAUAUUGACGAUGAGGUGCGAAAGCGUGGGGAGCAAACGGGAUUAGAAACCCUUGUAGUCC